Molecule: ribosomal RNA, 207 nt
Filed under: uncultured bacterium
Lineage: Bacteria
Description: partial 16S ribosomal RNA
Rfam family: Bacterial small subunit ribosomal RNA
Source: RNAcentral
CACGUAGGCGGAUAUUUAAGUCAGGGGUGAAAUCCCAGAGCUCAACUCUGGAACUGCCUUUGAUACUGGGUAUCUUGAGUAUGGAAGAGGUAAGUGGAAUUCCGAGUGUAGAGGUGAAAUUCGUGGAUAUUCGGAGGAACACCAGUGGCGAAGGCGGCUUACUGGUCCAUUACUGACGCUGAGGUGCGAAGGCGUGGGGAGCAAACA